RNAcentral lists this ribosomal RNA (774 nucleotides) under uncultured bacterium. RNAcentral describes it as "bacterial SSU rRNA". It matches the Rfam family "Bacterial small subunit ribosomal RNA", at positions 8 to 796 of the family's 1533-position model. The record is from RNAcentral.
AGAGUUUGAUCCUGGCUCAGAACGAACGCUGGCGGCGUGGCUAAGGCAUGCAAGUCGAACGGACCCUUCGGGGUCAGUGGCGAACGGGUGAGGAAUAGAUGGACAACGUACCCUGGACACGGGGAUAGCGGCGGGGGAAACCCCUUUGCGAAAGUGCCGGUAAUACCCGAUGACCCCGCGGAAUCGCAUGAUUUUGCGGGCAAAAGCUCCGACGGUCUGGGAGCGGUCCAUCUCCUAUCAGCUAGUUGGUGAGGUAACGGCUCACCAAGGCAACGACGGGUAGCGGGCGUGAGAGCGUGGCCCGCCACAUCGGGACUGAGACACUGCCCGGACACCUACGGGUGGCUGCAGCAACGAAUAUUCCGCAAUGGACGCAAGUCUGACGGAGCGACGCCGCGUGUAGGAAGAAGUCCUUCGGGAUGUAAACUACUGUCAGGGGUUAGGAACACCGACCAGCCCCAAAGGAAGCACCGGCUAACUCCGUGCCAGCAGCCGCGGUAAUACGGAGGGUGCAAGCGUUGUUCGGAAUCACUGGGCUUAAAGGGCGUGUAGGCGGGGCGGAAAGUGUCGGGUGAAAUCCCACGGCUCAACCGUGGAACUGCUUGGCAAACUUCCGUUCUUGAGGCAGGUAGAGGUGACUGGAACGACUGGUGGAGCGGUGAAAUGCGUAGAUAUCAGUUGGAACGCCGGAGGCGAAAGCGGGUCACUGGGCCUGUCCUGACGCUGAGACGCGAAAGCGUGGGGAGCGAACAGGAUUAGAUACCCUGGUAGUCG